RNAcentral lists this ribosomal RNA (443 nucleotides) under uncultured bacterium. RNAcentral's name for it is "partial 16S ribosomal RNA". It matches the Rfam family "Bacterial small subunit ribosomal RNA", at positions 338 to 795 of the family's 1533-position model. The record is from RNAcentral.
CCUACGGGGAGCAGCAGUGGGGAAUAUUGCACAAUGGGGGAAACCCUGAUGCAGCAACGCCGCGUGAAUGAAGAAGUUUUUCGGAUUGUAAACCUCUAUCAAUAGGGAAGAAAGUAAUGACGGUACCUAAAUAAGAAGCGCCGGCUAACUACGUGCCAGCAGCCGCGGUAAUACGUAGGGGGCAAGCGUUAUCCGGAAUUACUGGGUGUAAAGGGAGCGUAGGCGGCAAGGUAAGCUAGAUGUGAAAGCCUUAAGCUUAACUUAAGGAUGGCAUAACGAACUAUCUAGCUAGAGUGCAGGAGAGGUAAGCGGAAUUCCUAGUGUAGCGGUGAAAUGCGUAGAUAUUAGGAAGAACACCAGUGGCGAAGGCGGCUUACUGGACUGAAACUGACGUUGAGGCUCGAAAGCGUGGGGAGCGAACAGGAUUAGAUACCCUGGUAGUC